AUGAAAUCCUGCCUCAAAAAGCUGGAGCCACGUUUCACAGAGCCCAUGAGUCUUUGUGUGUGAGGCCCUCAUUUCCUCUGCCCUGCAGAAUGAUUUCCCUUUGGCACCCAAAGGUGAAGCCAGGACAGCUGAGGAAGGGCGACAGCAGUUCAAACAUGAUAUUCCACCACGUAAAUACUCCCCAAGCACCAGUGCUGGAAUAGCACUCUCAGCAAUUCAUUGGUCCACAGGAAAAAAUAAAAGUACACCUGAAAAUGAACAUUGCAUGCAGAGUUGCCUGAAAUACUGUGUCCAGCAUUAAUAUUUCCAAUUUAGUCGUUUCCAAAAGUGGACGCAAAUGAGGAACACGAGCUGGUCACCAUAUCCUCACAAGGACUAUUCCUAAUACAAUGAAAAUAGCUUGUUGGUGUAAUCCGUAGAGUAAACUGCAGUUGGGUGUGUGUCUCUAUGUCCCUUUCUGAGUCACUUUCAUCACAAUUCACAUGACCAGGAGAUCAAGUACCAUAGACACGUUUUGUCUUCCAGGCCUUGCUUGUUUUGAAUAAAGCACUUUAGAGUGUUCCCAGUCGCAGAGAGGAGCAUAAGCCUGAGAAGAAAGAUUAAUAUAACCAUGCUGAUAGGAAGACCAUCUCAGAGCCACAAUCAUUAGAAAAAAAGACACACUUGAUUUAAUUUUCAGUCUAAAAUUUUCUAGUCUUGCUAGACAAACUUUUCCAGAAAUGGCUUCUCUCCUUUUGAACAAAACAAAGCAAUGGAAAAAAAACAUAAGAGGGACACUGAUCCUGGAGAAGGAAGAAGAAUGUUUUAGCUCAGAAGCUAAACAAGGCAUCCAGAAAAAUAAAGAAGUUGUUUUGACUACUAUUCCCUAUGCGGAAAUUGUCACUUCUCUGCAACACCCAGUCCUUCCUAAAAGCUCAGUAAAUGGACCCAGUAAACUGGCUCCUAUGUUGCCUCAUCUUCUCUCCAUUGUCACACAUGGCAGGAAGGAUCCCAAGGGAAGAAAACUCACAACAAAAGGUAAAGGGCAUUAGAGUUGCGGAGCCCAGGCAGGGACAGAAUAAGCGCAGGUGUAAAAAUCGUCUUUGGCUGUGAAGUAGCAAGCUGCUUAUUCCCAGGAGGAUAAGGACUGUGUCUAAAUUAAUCCUGCCCCUGGCAUGAAUUUUAAAGAAUCAGGCACUUUUACCAGUGUGACUGCUGCUAUUAUGGCUAAGCUGAUGCAAUAUAUAGGAUAAAGGGUUUAGCUUAGGCAUUUUAAAUGAUCUGCAGGUUUUAGGCUUUAAAACAAGGUUGACAAUUUGUUUCUACAAAGUGACAAAUGGUAGAUAUUUUAGGUGUUCGGGGCCAUGAUCUGUCACCAACACAGAAAUCUGCUCUUGCAACAAGAAGGCAGCACCAGACCCUGUGUGAAAUAAUGGGAGCGGUGGGUUCCUCCAGGCCACAGGGUGCCGGCUCCCACCCUCAGUUAUUAACAGCGGUUGCCAGAGUUGUUCCAAGUAUGAUUUUGAGGGAGUGGGAGUAGAAGUGGCUGAUGAAGAGGUUUAUUGUCAAAAACAAAACAGAACAGAACAAAAACAAGCCCCCCCAAUUCCCAUAGCUCCUACUAACACCUGUCAAUAUUUCUCUAAGGGAAAAGUUUUCAGGCAAUGCAAAGAGAUCAUAAACACCAAUACCACAGACUUCCUUCCAGCUCUACAGCUCUUCUCGUGAUCUAUUUCUCACCACUUUUGCAAGUCGCAUGGCACCCAAAGAGACAGAGAGGACUCAUCUAACGAAGAGAAUAAUGUCCAGGCUGGGUUUGAACCCAUCAGCCCCAGUGGCCAGUGCCCCAGCCGACUGAGCCAGGGACUACGAAUCUUGAUCCUUGUCUACUCCCAAUCAGCAGUAUGGGAAGGUAAACAUGGAGAGGCAUUUCCAGUAUGAGGACCACAGACGAGAAGUAAGCAUCUGAAAGAGCCCCUCCAAACUUACCAGGAAUGGAAAAUAGCUCUCCUUGGAAGUGAGAAAAAUUUCUAAGUGAAGGCUGAGCCAGAGACAAAGUCUUUUGUUUGCGUAGUGAUAUCAGGAUGCAUUAAUGGAAGUCAGGAGAGACUAAAGGAAGGAGAUAAAACUAAAAUGUCUGUCAUCAAGGCCACUAUACAGAACAUCCUGGGCUUUAUCCCACCUUAAGAGCCUGCAGAAUGCCUAUCAGAAUUUUAUUCCUGAGUAUCUGUCAUCAAGGAGGGGUCAUAAUCUAUUGGUUGAGAUCUACUCUGCAAGAAUUACCUCUGUUUUCCACCCCUCUCCACUUCCCUACCAUCUGCAUGGGUCAGCGCCAAUUCUUGGUCAUUCUUGGCCACAGAUCAAGAGAAAAAAAAUGAGCUUCAGGAGAGAUGCUGUGAGCUUACAGGAAACUGAAGUCCAAAGAAAAUUGUCUACUGCUGUUGUUGCUGAAAUCAAUGGGGAGGUCUGAAGAAUGGGGGCAGGACAUCAGAAGCAUUUGAUACAAUUAUGAUAGUUCUUUUUAAGUAGUGUCAAAAAUUGU
Molecule: long non-coding RNA, 2521 nt
Organism: Otolemur garnettii (small-eared galago)
Lineage: Eukaryota; Metazoa; Chordata; Mammalia; Primates; Galagidae
Exons: 4
Source: RefSeq, a predicted model, not a curated record